Molecule: long non-coding RNA, 6610 nt
Filed under: Sus scrofa (pig)
Lineage: Eukaryota; Metazoa; Chordata; Mammalia; Artiodactyla; Suidae
Description: lncRNA (ENSSSCG00015078968.1)
Source: RNAcentral
GGAGGACGGCGCCCCCGUCUUCCCUCCACACAGGAGAGCGUGGAGCUCCGCGGAGCAAAUGAGACGCAGUCUGCACACUGUCCAGUUUUCUGAAACGGCAGGGUUUUCACAGGACUGUGCAAGUCAAGACGUAUAAACCUGCCAGCAGCCAGAAGCCCCCAUGCCAAGCACACCUGCCCAGGUAACUGCUCUGUUCGCUAGGUUUUCCCAACUUAGAACUGGAUCCGUGUGGCAGGGAAUCUUUUGUGCCUUCCUUCUUUCUCUCAGCUUUGUGAUCCACGUCGUCAUGGUUUGUUCUGCUUCACUGCUGUGGAAUGUUCCUAGUAUGUGAAUAUAAGAAAUACACAAUAUAUUCAUCCAUAUUCAUGAAAAUAAAUACUCAAACAAUAUACAAAAAAUACAAAUUUCAUUGUAUAAGCAUUUGUUUCAUCUCCUCUACCCCCAAGUGCACGGCUCAUUUCUGGAACAGCGCUAUUCAGGAGCUUUGCUACGUAUCUUGGGCAUCUCAGGGCACUUCCCGGCUGCCGUCCAGGGACUUGCUGGAACUCGGGUGGCAUCCACUCCAUGCCCAGGCAUGCGUCCCUAGGCUCUGCCUUCUCAGCAGCUCCAGGAUGGGCAGAGCUCAAGUGUCCGCCAGUCAGAGAGGUGGGUGACUAUGUGUCGCGUGGUUUCCAUGUCAUUUCUCUGACUCGGUAACCAGGUUGGAUGCCACCUUGUGCAUUUCUGUCAUUUGCGUCUCCUCCUCCGAAGUUCCGGCUCAAAUGUUUUGCCCAUUUUUUCUCAGCUGUCGGUCUUUUCUUAAAGAUUUGUUGGGAGUCUUUGUUACUGCCCGUGAGGUCUUUGCGGGGUACACAUCCUUGAACUUCUCUUGAGACUCUCGCUUGUCCUGUCUUUAUCAAGGGAUGUUCUUGAUUUGAAUGUAGUGGAAGUGAUAAACCUUCUACUUUGCAGAGUCAGUAUUUCAAAAUCUGUCUACUCUGAGAUCCUGAAAAUGUUCCGUUCUCAUCGAAAACCUUUGUAGUUAUCACUUAAGUACAAAGGAUUUAAUCUCUCUGUAGGUCUAAUUUCAUUUCUUCUAAUACGGAUCCAGUUGUGCUGCAUCCUUGCUUUUUCAUUCGAAAUAUCUUCAGAUCUUUCUAUAUCUGCACAUACACAGCCCCAACUCAAGGAUAAACCCUAACUUGAAGGAUAUUUAGGAUGUUAAUUUUUUUUUCUAUUCCAGUGUUUCAAAGAAUCAUUUUACACUGGAUUUUUACACACACACUUAAGCAUAUUCAUCAAGGAAUUUCACAGGAGUAGGCCUGGUGAGUUAAAAUCAUGUACUUUUUAAAUUUCCUUCGAUAUUGGGCUUUCGGUCUUACUUUAAAAAUUAAUUCCCUGUCAAAAUUAUUAUAAAUUCCCCCAAGUUUUCUUCUAGUACUUAUCAAAGCCCAUUAUACGUGUAAGUCUUUGAGCCAUCUGGAUUUUAUUUUGGGGUAAGGCGUUUGGGAGAGAUCCAGCUAUAUAUUUUCCAAAUGUCUGGCCAGUUGUCCCCAAAUCAUUAUUGAAUAAUACAUCUUUCCCCGCUGAUUUUAAAUGUCAUCAUUAUCAUAUACUAAAUACCCAUAUGCAUUCGGGUCUAUUUCUAGGCUUUCUAUUCCUUUCUCUCCACCCGCCUGUCUGCUCAUGAGCACAGCCACUCAGUGUAAACACCCCGUCGCACGGAGCACCAGGCGUGGGAUUUGGCCAGCAGCCGCACCAACCGCCCUGCUUCACGACCUUCCCGUGAUUUCUCAACCUGAACUUUCAAACGAGUUUGCUCAGUUUCAAAAGGCACUUUGUUAAUGCUUUGUUGUGCUCACUUAAACCUAAGGGUUAACCCGGAGAGCAGUGACAAGCUGCCGCAUUAAACCGCCUACCCAGGAACACGGUCUUCCCGACGAUCCGCUCCGCAGCCGCAGCGCGGAGCCCAGACUUGCGGCGUAGGUACCUUUCCCGUUGCCUCCACGCCCUCCUCCCUCGGCUGCCCUCCAGGGCCACGGACGCCGGCCUCCAGGCUUCCUUGCGGUGUUUGUUUAGUCAGGGCAGCCAGCUAUAAAUUCUCUCAAUUUUUUGCUGGACCGAUACUGUCAUUAUUUCCCUGUCCUUUUAGAAAGGUACUUUCCCGGGUAUGGAGGUCUAGCUUGGCAGGUACUUUCAGCAGAGACAUCCCUCUAGCCAUUCUCUUCUGGCCUCCCCCAACUCUGUCACCCGGCCGUCACCUGCAUAAGGAGCCACGCUCAACGCAAGGGCCGAGAACACUCUCGUGAGCCUCUGAAUGAGCUGGGGGUCAGCCAGGGGUGCCUGUGACCCUCCUCCUCCCACGGGGCCAGUGUCGGAGGGCAAAGAGGUCUGCAGCAUCAGGACCAGCCCCUCUGUGACCCCACCCUCGGCCAGCUGGGCAAAGCCAGCCAGCAGCUGAGUCCAGGGGUGGGGUGGGGGGGACUCCUGCAACGCAGGUUACCUGGCCGAGGGCAGGUGUGCAGGCAGAAGGGCGGCGUGGGGCCUUGCUGCAGUUUUCCCCACCGUCUUCUUAGAACCUUUGAGAUGAUGCAUCCUUUCCUGGCCUUUCUGGCCUUUUAAAAUUUGAACUUUCAACAAUUUCGCUACACUGUUUCCAGGCCGGGGAGGGGGCCGUCCUCCUGGCAUUCAUGUUCAAGCUUUUGCCUGACGUCUUGCACGCAGUUCCGAGGCCUGUCUCCACCUCUCCCGACGCGGCCUCUGCCCUCUCCGGUCCCUCCUCAAUCCCCGCAGUGCUCCCGCGCCUCCCUCUCCACCUGUUUCCACCCUCUUCCCUCUGGAUCUGGCCCCCUGACCUGCCUCACUAAUCCCCACUUGCGCUGGGUCUGAUCCACUAUUAAACCCACUGAUUUCAUUCCGAAAUGCGGUUUAUGCAGUUUUCAGGGCUCGCAUCUCCACGUGGCUCUUGUCUAUAGACUGUGCGUCUCUGAACCUCUCCACAUAUCCACGGCUGUUUCAAAUACCUGAGCCGUCGUGCCCUCGGUGUCUGAGGUGGAUGGUUUCUCUGCAUCUGUCUCCCCCGCCUGCCCGUUUCUGUCCUGUCACUUGACACGGAGGCAGUUUUGACACAACACUGAGGGAACACUGUGUGAAAACGGAAUAGGCGCUCAGCGCACACAGGGCUUUGGGCAGCCGGCGGUGCGGGGCAGCCUGUGGUGCGGGAACGACGAUGGCGCAGAGACAGCAGGUGGUGCGGGGCAGACGGCAGGAUGGAGCAGCCGGCGGCGCGGGGAGGAUGACCUGCGCCCGUCCCCAGCUGGGCUGACACCCUCUCCCCUGCUGUACUAACAGCCUUCCGAGGCACGGGCACUGCCUCAGAGCCUCGCUUGCCACAGGUCCCGCAUGCCCGCAGGCCCUGACAGCCACUCGUAAGCCCCCAGCAGCCGGCAAGCCUGCUCCUCAGCAGCCCUUUCGCUCCCGCCCUCCGCCCUCCACCCAGAGCAGCGCUUCCUGGUCCUCUUGCCGCGGUCCUGGUGCCGCCAGACUGGCUGUCUUCAGAACCCCCCAGUGUCUGCUGCCGGAGGGUUUCUGUACUUUUCCCAGCUGUUCUGAUAGUUUUAAGGUAGAAUCGGUCGGCUGGAAACUGGCUGCCACACUCCAAGGCAGAAGCCCCUCAGCAGGAUUCAAGGGAGUCUUCACUGACAGGGGCACAUCCUUUCCAUCGUUCCCAGAUGGCUUCACUUUGUCACAGAUGUUUCCUUCCACUGUGUCUGCUCUUGGUGGACGGCAUCUAGGAAAACCCCGGUUCUUCACAAACGGCGUGACCACUCACCCACUGGAUGCUGCCCGUCGUCCUCAGUGGGUUCACGGAGGUGGCCCAGGUCCCCAACCACCUCCCCCAGGAAUAAAGACCAUGCUUAGAUUUCUUCGUUUCGAAAUCUUCGCAGCUACGAAUCUUACCAUGUUAAGGAGCAGAUAUUGAGUUUUCUCAGUCUCUUUUUGGUAUCCUGCAAACAAGUAUACGUAUUUCCCCCUUCAAACUAAGACAAUGGAAGGUCAUGGUAACUUCUUACCACUGAAUUAUUCUUUUUUCUUGGAAUGAGCCCGACUGAUUCUGACCUAGCACUCUUUCAUGUGCGACUGGAUUAUGUUAGCAAUACCUUAUUUAGGGUUCGUCCAAGAAUGUCUGAGUGGACCUGUGCUAUGAAUUACUUGUCACGAGGGCUGUCUUUCACAGCUUUUUGCAUCAAUGCUGUCUUUGUAAUAGAGAAUUUAAAGGUUUUCUGGGUGUUGUGCUCCAAAGCUGUUGAAUUACCAUUGGAUCUAUUGAUUCUUCAGAAGUGACAGAAAGGUGGCAUUUUUAUAAACCAGGUCACUGUAAUAAUUUGCUCUGUACAGUUCAUCUCUUCUCAAAUGGCCUUAAGGCAAAGCAGCCCCUUCCCUGCACACAAAUAUUGACGGGUGGGUAGCGGAACCUCACACAGCCCUCCUGGUGAGAAGGUCUGUCUACAGCAGCUGGGUCCAGUGCCAGCGCCAUCCUCUUCCCGCUCCGUCAGCGAAGAUGGCCAGUGCAGCCGAAUGGACUGAGCACCCUGACAGCGCCUGUGUGCCAGCGCUGGGGCACAAAUGAUGCAAAACUACCCCUCCCCAGGGGAGGCAGACAGCUACAGGCGACCAUCACCACACGAUCAGGGAACAUCCAGAGAAAACCUGUAAAAACUUCGUAAUGCUCACCUAGAAUUUCUUUCUCUCUCCACAAUGCUACUCGUCCUUAACCUUCGGAGCCUGGACCGCUCUCUUUCCCCAGUGAGGCGGGAUCAGAUGCUCCACCUCUGAGUGGGAAGUAUUUUCCCGUCCCCAUCAUUCGGAUGUCCGCCUCCCCCAUCCCGGAACCCUCCAGGGGCGUUAAACCCCAGCCCCGAUCAGCUUCUAGUUUCAUAAACAAGGGCCUCUUCACAAGGUGGGCGCGAGUGAGUGAAUGAAGGAAUGGACGGGUUUUCCAGGCAACGAAGAGGGACUGUGAUGUCGAUGUUAGUUUCAGGCCCCAACCGUUUGCUGUUACAGGUGUUAAAGGUUCUAUUUGGGAAGAGAGUGGAUCAGGUGGGAACGUAUGUGCUGUAUAAAUUCAAGGGAGAAUUACAAUAACAACAUACUCGUGAAUGCAUAAAACUCGUCCAAGUGCAGGAAAAACACUAGAUAAAAAGAUAAACACUAAGUUGCUUCAGAUGGCAGCACCCUGGAUGCAUCUUGGCCUGUUACAAUGGGGACAAGAGAAGGAGCAGGGGUGCCCGGUGACCGAGGGCAGACGUGCACAAGGCCAAUACACAGAGUCGACCACCAGUCCUCAGACUGGACUGCCAGGCGAUGCUCCCGGGGGCAGGUACGUGCUCCCAGGCAGGCUGCCUGGGGACAGGGGGUGGCAUCUUCUGCUUUGACUGGAACCUCAAGUUGAUUGACUGUUUAAAACCACGUGUAUGCAUUACUUUGAUGAAGUUAACUGAGGGACGUUUAAAGCAGCAUAUCCCAUAAACAUAAAGUAAACACUGAGUCCACUCCCACCAGCUCUGUGGAGGCCGCUGUUGCUGACGCCAGCAAACAUCAAUUCGCCAGACAGUCCCGGGCAGGCAGGCCAUAAACCAUUUGCAGAACGGCUAACCACCACAUCAGCGACAGGUGCCACACCCCGGACACUGCCCCAAAUGUAUGUGUUCAGCAGCCUCCAGCAGACGCUCCCUAAGACCCAGUCACCUGCCAGCCACGUGCUGGACUCGGGCACACAGUCUCUGACCUCCUGGGUCUAGAGCAUGGUGCACCCAGGGUCACACGUGCGAGGCUGCCCGCCUGGGGACCUACGUCCAGAGCCUGAGCCCAGAUCCCCUCCCCUUUCUCCCGGUGGUCUCCCUGCGUGACGCAUCUGUGCAGUGACAGAAAGGACCCACAUAAAGCAAACGCAGAAUUUACCUCCUCCCUUCAUGCGGCAUCAGUUUAAGGAGCGGCCUCCAGAACUGCCAGAGACCUGGUAGUCCCCUCCCAGAUCGGGUCUUGUCGGGUUGGGCUGGGUUGCACGGAGUUGUUGCCAAGUGUUAGUUCCUGCUUUCCCCGCCCCUACCCUGUUUCCACCAAAUAGCCUGGGAGUAGCCAGUCUAGGGCGCAACUGGAAUUUUUGGCUCCAGUGAAAUAAAGCGUAUAAAAUCUCACAUAAAUUGUAAAACACCGUGCAUGUAUUGGGAGUAACUUGCAGCAUUUUUAUAGCUUUCUGUAUCUUGGGCAAACAUCCUUAAUAACAAAGUACAGAAUACUGUCACUCAACUGGACUGGGUUUAUUUACCUAAGACAGUUGUGCAUCGCAAUCUGCAAUUUCCUAAAUGGCAGAUGAGUCAUUUGCAUUGAUUUGCAUGUCCACAGAGAAGGCUCUUCUAUGCUAAUGAUGUUCCUGCCAACAAACCGCACAAGGACUAAUGAGGAGACUGAAUUCCUCCUCCACGGCUUCGGCUUGUUGCACAAAGCACAGCGGGCGUUUCGGUGAAGAUGCCAUGGAAUUUCAAGGGUGGGGAGGUUUCUUAGAAAUCAUCUGGCCCAGUGGUUCUCAACUGGGACUGCACUUUAGAAUCACUCAGGGAGCUUCGAAAAA